GUUUGUUUAAUUUAAUGACAAUGUUUCAUUGAAAGUGCAAAAAGCAGGAAUUCAUUCUUCAUAACAAAUA
Molecule: transfer RNA, 70 nt
Filed under: Pyronema omphalodes CBS 100304
Lineage: Eukaryota; Fungi; Ascomycota; Pezizomycetes; Pezizales; Pyronemataceae
Description: tRNA-Phe
Source: RNAcentral